This 165-nucleotide ribosomal RNA is filed under the name Leuconostoc pseudomesenteroides. RNAcentral's name for it is "partial 16S ribosomal RNA". It matches the Rfam family "Bacterial small subunit ribosomal RNA", at positions 1 to 157 of the family's 1533-position model. The record is from RNAcentral. Lineage: Bacteria; Bacillati; Bacillota; Bacilli; Lactobacillales; Lactobacillaceae.
UUCAAAUUGAGAGUUUGAUCCUGGCUCAGGAUGAACGCUGGCGGCGUGCCUAAUACAUGCAAGUCGAACGCACAGCGAAAGGUGCUUGCACCUUUCAAGUGAGUGGCGAACGGGUGAGUAACACGUGGACAACCUGCCUCAAGGCUGGGGAUAACAUUUGGAAAC